UUGAUUGAUUUGCUUUCAAUACUCCGACGCAAAGAUGCAGAAUUGAUUGGUCCUCUGGGGACGCCCGACGCGAGGCCGGGUCAUCGCCCCCGAGGCAACAGGGUUGUAUCAAACAAAGGGUUGGGAGGUCGAGGGCGCGAGGCCCCCUCACUCGGUAAUGAUCCCUCCGCAGGUUCACCUACGGAGA
This 187-nucleotide unclassified non-coding RNA is filed under the name uncultured fungus. RNAcentral's name for it is "sequence contains ITS1". Lineage: Eukaryota; Fungi. The record is from RNAcentral.